GCUGUCCUUCAUGACAACAGAACCCACAACAACCAUGACUUUUAUCACCAUCUUCAUCUGGAUAUUUGCCCUCUGUCUCCAAGAGUCCAGAGGCCAGGUCACUGUGACUCAGACUCCUGCAGUGGAAGCUGUUUCAGUGGGUCACUCAGUCAGUCUCAGCUGUAAGACCAGCAGUGCUGUAUACAGUGACGACAGUGGACACUUUCUAGCCUGGUAUCAACAGAAUCCUGGAGGAGCUCCUAAACUCCUUAUUUACUAUGCUACAACACUUCAGUCUGGGACUCCAUCUAGAUUCAGUGGCAGUGGAACUCAUAGUGACUUCACUCUGACCAUCAGUGGAGUCCAGGCUGAAGAUGCAGGAGAUUACUACUGUCAGAGUUGGCACUACCCCAACAGUGUCUGGGUGUUCACACAGUGAUACAGAGUCGUACAAAAACCUCCCUCAGUCAGACUGCACAGUGACUGUACUGCUACAGCUGGGA
Molecule: non-coding RNA, 482 nt
Organism: Coregonus clupeaformis (lake whitefish)
Lineage: Eukaryota; Metazoa; Chordata; Actinopteri; Salmoniformes; Salmonidae
Source: the annotation of a RefSeq genome assembly